GAUGAAGAACGCAGCGAAAUGCGAUAAGUAGUGUGAAUUGCAGAAUUUAGUGAAUCAUCGAAUCUUUGAACGCACAUUGCGCCCUUUGGUAUUCCUUAGGGCAUGCCUGUUCGAGCGUCAUCUACACCCUCAAGCACAGCUUGGUGAUGGGCGCCUGUCCCGCCCCCCACGGGGGCGCGGACUCGCCUCAAAUGCAUUGGCGGCCGGCGACCUGGCUUCGAGCGCAGCAGAAACGCGUACUCGGGGACCGGGCGCCCGCUCCCAGAAGCCAACCCACCCAGUUUGACCUCGGAUCAGGUAGGGAUACCCGCUGAACUUAAGCAUAUCAAUAAGCGGAGGA
Molecule: unclassified non-coding RNA, 340 nt
Filed under: soil metagenome
Description: partial contains 5.8S ribosomal RNA, internal transcribed spacer 2, and large subunit ribosomal RNA
Rfam family: 5.8S ribosomal RNA (bases 1-120)
Source: RNAcentral